This 596-nucleotide ribosomal RNA is filed under the name Trichophyton mentagrophytes. RNAcentral's name for it is "eukaryotic LSU rRNA". It matches the Rfam family "Eukaryotic large subunit ribosomal RNA", at positions 40 to 648 of the family's 3401-position model. The record is from RNAcentral. Lineage: Eukaryota; Fungi; Ascomycota; Eurotiomycetes; Onygenales; Arthrodermataceae.
AUAUCAAUAAGCGGAGGAAAAGAAACCAACAGGGAUUGCCCCAGUAACGGCGAGUGAAGCGGCAAGAGCUCAAAUUUGAAAUCUGGCCUCCCCCGGGGGCCCGAGUUGUAAUUUGCAGAGGAUGCUUCGGGUGCGGCCACCGUAUAAGUUCCUUGGAACAGGACGUCAGAGAGGGUGAGAAUCCCGUCUUGGGCGGGCGGUCCGCGCCCGUGUGAAGCUCCUUCGACGAGUCGAGUUGUUUGGGAAUGCAGCUCUAAGCGGGUGGUAAAUUUCAUCUAAAGCUAAAUAUUGGCCGGAGACCGAUAGCGCACAAGUAGAGUGAUCGAAAGGUUAAAAGCACCUUGAAAAGGGAGUUAAACAGCACGUGAAAUUGUUGAAAGGGAAGCGCUUGCGGCCAGACUCGGGGGCGGGGUUCAGCGGGUGCUCGUCGCCCGUGUAUUCCUCGUCUCCCGGGCCAGCAUCAGUUUCGACGGCCGGUCAAAGGCCCCCGGAAUGUGUCGUCUCUCGGGACGUCUUAUAGCCGGGGGUGCAAUGCGGCCCGUCGGGACUGAGGAACGCGCUCCGGCUCGGAUGCUGGCGUAAUGGCCGUAAGCGGC